Molecule: ribosomal RNA, 253 nt
Filed under: uncultured bacterium
Lineage: Bacteria
Description: partial 16S ribosomal RNA
Rfam family: Bacterial small subunit ribosomal RNA
Source: RNAcentral
UACGUAGGGUGCAAGCGUUAAUCGGAAUUACUGGGCGUAAAGCGUGCGCAGGCGGUUGUGCAAGACCGCUGUGAAAUCCCCGGGCUUAACCUGGGAAUGGCAUUGGUGACUGCACGGCUAGAGUGUGUCAGAGGGGGGUAGAAUUCCACGUGUAGCAGUGAAAUGCGUAGAGAUGCGGAGGAACACCGAUGGCGAAGGCAGCCCCCUGGGCCAACACUGACGCUCAGGCACGAAAGCGUGGGGAGCAAACAGG